This 425-nucleotide ribosomal RNA is filed under the name uncultured bacterium. Its description in RNAcentral is "bacterial SSU rRNA". It matches the Rfam family "Bacterial small subunit ribosomal RNA", at positions 356 to 773 of the family's 1533-position model. The record is from RNAcentral.
GGGGAAUAUUGGACAAUGGGGGCAACCCUGAUCCAGCCAUGCCGCGUGUGUGAAGAAGGCCUUCGGGUUGUAAAGCACUUUAAGCGGGGAGGAAGGCCUGAUGGCUAAUAUCCAUCGGGAUUGACGUUACCCGCAGAAUAAGCACCGGCAAACUUCGUGCCAGCAGCCGCGGUAAUACGAAGGGUGCGAGCGUUAAUCGGAAUUACUGGGCGUAAAGCGCGCGUAGGUGGUUAAGUAAGCGAUCUGUGAAAGCCCCGGGCUUAACCUGGGAACUGCAGGUCGAACUGCUUGGCUAGAGUAUGGUAGAGGGGUGUGGAAUUUCCUGUGUAGCGGUGAAAUGCGUAGAUAUAGGAAGGAACAUCAGUGGCGAAGGCGACUACCUGGAUCAGCACUGACACUGAGGCACGAAAGCGUGGGGAGCAAAC